RNAcentral lists this ribosomal RNA (305 nucleotides) under uncultured bacterium. Its description in RNAcentral is "bacterial SSU rRNA". It matches the Rfam family "Bacterial small subunit ribosomal RNA", at positions 333 to 652 of the family's 1533-position model. The record is from RNAcentral.
ACUAUCCUACGGGACGCAGCAGUGGGGAAUAUUGGGCAAUGGGCGCAAGCCUGACCCAGCAACGCCGCGUGAAGGAAAAAGGCUUUCGGGUUGUAAACUUCUUUUAUGAGGGACGAAACAAAUGACGGUACCUCAUGGAUAAGCCACGGCUAACUACGUGCCAGCAGCCGCGGUAAUACGUAGGUGGCAAGCGUUAUCCGGAUUUACUGGGUGUAAAGGGCGUGUAGGCGGGACUGCAAGUCAGAUGUGAAAAUUAUGGGCUCAACCCAUAACCUGCAUUUGAAACUGUCGUUCUUGAGUGAUGG